CUUACGUAUUUAGGAUCUAUAGUGUCUUGAACAGAGAGAUUACGUUUCGGUUAGUGAGCUGGCCUGAUCAACCAACUCGAGUGUCUGAAUUGUUAAGGAUACUUAUAACUUGGAACAGUUGUGUUAAGAAGAUACGGAUCUAAAAUGUCAGAGACGACAUUCAAGAAGGAGGGGAGAGUGUAGCCGUGUGAGAAAACAAUUAAGAAACAGCUUUAAAGACUGGAACUUAGUCAGCGGUUAUGUUGUAAAAACGGGCUCAGUAAUAUAGUCUAGCGCUUUUUAAAAACGAUAAGAC
Paramuricea clavata is the source of this 295-nucleotide non-coding RNA. The record is from the annotation of a GenBank genome assembly. NCBI's taxonomy places the organism in Eukaryota, Metazoa, Cnidaria, Anthozoa, Malacalcyonacea, Plexauridae.